This 499-nucleotide ribosomal RNA is filed under the name uncultured Glomeromycotina. Its description in RNAcentral is "partial small subunit ribosomal RNA". It matches the Rfam family "Eukaryotic small subunit ribosomal RNA", at positions 591 to 1092 of the family's 1831-position model. The record is from RNAcentral. Lineage: Eukaryota; Fungi; Glomeromycota.
CCAAUAGCGUAUAUUAAAGUUGUUGCAGUUAAAAAGCUCGUAGUUGAAUUUCGAGAUCAAAUUGUUGGUCGUGCCUUGGUACGCACUGGCAUUAUUGGUUUCUCCCUUCUGACGAACCAUGAUGUCAUUAAUUUGGUGUCUUGGGGAAUCAGGACUGUUACUUUGAAAAAAUUAGAGUGUUUAAAGCAGGCUCACGCUUGAAUACAUUAGCAUGGAAUAAUGAAAUAGGACGUUUGAUUCUAUUUUGUUGGUUUCUAGGAUCGACGUAAUGAUUAAUAGGGAUAGUUGGGGGCAUUAGUAUUCAAUUGUCAGAGGUGAAAUUCUUGGAUUUAUUGAAGACUAACUACUGCGAAAGCAUUUGCCAAGGAUGUUUUCAUUAAUCAAGAACGAAAGUUAGGGGAUCGAAGACGAUCAGAUACCGUCGUAGUCUUAACCAUAAACUAUGCCGACUAGGGAUCGGAUGAUGUUAAUUUUUUAAUGACUCAUUCGGCGCCUUAUG